This 284-nucleotide long non-coding RNA is filed under the name Lathyrus oleraceus (garden pea). RNAcentral describes it as "Pisum sativum (pea) long non-coding RNA (PSAT_LNC027004)". Lineage: Eukaryota; Viridiplantae; Streptophyta; Magnoliopsida; Fabales; Fabaceae. The record is from RNAcentral.
CCCAAAGUUUAUACCCAACGAGUCUCAUUGACCUCUGUUGGCCCGAUUACGGGGAUGUGAUAGUUAGCUUAUCCAUGUUCGGCAAUGUUGCUCGGGAGAUGUUGUUUUUGCACUCAGAUGUUUCUGUUCCCUAUAUGAUGCCCUCGAGUCGGCUCUCGUGAAGAGGAAUGGACUGAGUGUUGGAAUUUAAGAGGAGUUUUUCAAAGAAAUUAAUCUCUUAACGGAACAAUCCCGAUGAAUGAAUCUUGAUUAAACCAUUAAUCACAAAUCAAACAUAAAAUAAG